This 336-nucleotide ribosomal RNA is filed under the name Triticum aestivum (bread wheat). RNAcentral's name for it is "partial small subunit ribosomal RNA". Lineage: Eukaryota; Viridiplantae; Streptophyta; Magnoliopsida; Poales; Poaceae. The record is from RNAcentral.
AUGAUGACAAUCAGAAGACAAGAAAUAGAGCGAAAGGGAUACAUUUUCUUCAUUGACUUGAUACUCACCAGUGAAUACAUUCUCUUCAUUGAUUCCAAAUUCAAUUCUAGUGUGUACUCUUAUACCUCCUCUCGAAUAUUUUUCUUGUCUGAUACGCGAUUCAUAUUUUAUCGUCCUCUUGAAAGCGUUGUAGGUCUCAGACGUUCGUCCAUCUUGCUACCAUCUAUUCGGAAAGGCAUAUGGUUGCCGACAGUAAUGGAAGAAGAUUGGUGUAUGUUUCCUGGACCACAAGUAAUCUGCUUGCAUGACUCAUGUUUUGAUUUGAGUUACAGAUGA